UCUAUUUUCCUUCUAUUUGUGAGUCUCAUUUCCAGAAAAAAGUAGUCAAUUUUCCCAACAAAAAGGAAAUCAAACUUUCCAUUUUCAUGAUUUUGUUUUUGUCCAUGACAGCCCAACUCCUUUGAAUCUAUCCUAUAAACCUUCUGGACUUUGAAUCUAUCCUAUAAACCUUCUGGACUUUGGAAUCUCUCUCUCUCUCUGUCUCUCUUUCUCGGAGUUGCCAAGGCUUCUCACACUCUAAAAUUCCAAUUCUCUGUGCACAAAACAGAACCCACAAAAAUGAAGAUAACAAAAUCAUCCAUGUCCCCAUUU
Molecule: long non-coding RNA, 312 nt
Filed under: Prunus persica (peach)
Lineage: Eukaryota; Viridiplantae; Streptophyta; Magnoliopsida; Rosales; Rosaceae
Description: long non-coding RNA (PPER_LNC007348)
Source: RNAcentral